CUACGUGCCAGCAGCCGCGGUAAUACGUAGGGUGCGAGCGUUAAUCGGAAUUACUGGGCGUAAAGCGGGCGCAGACGGUUACUUAAGCAGGAUGUGAAAUCCCCGGGCUCAACCUGGGAAUUGCGUUCUGAACUGGGUGGCUAGAGUGUGUCAGAGGGGGGUAGAAUUCCACGUGUAGCAGUGAAAUGCGUAGAGAUGUGGAGGAAUACCGAUGGCGAAGGCAGCCCCCUGGGAUAGCACUGACGUUCAUGCCCGAAAGCGUGGGUAGCAAACAGGAUUAGAUACCCUGGUAGUCCACGCUGUAAACGAUGGAUACUAGCUGUUUGGAGUAAUCUGAGUGGCUAAGCGAAAGUGAUAAGUAUCCCACCUGGGGAGUACGUUCGCAAGAAUGAAACUCAAAGGAAUUGACGGGGGCCCGCACAAGCGGUGGAGCAUGUGGUUUAAUUCGAUGAUACGCGAGGAACCUUACCAAGGUUUAA
This 479-nucleotide ribosomal RNA is filed under the name uncultured bacterium. RNAcentral's name for it is "bacterial SSU rRNA". It matches the Rfam family "Bacterial small subunit ribosomal RNA", at positions 501 to 984 of the family's 1533-position model. The record is from RNAcentral.